This 229-nucleotide ribosomal RNA is filed under the name uncultured bacterium. RNAcentral describes it as "partial 16S ribosomal RNA". It matches the Rfam family "Bacterial small subunit ribosomal RNA", at positions 107 to 334 of the family's 1533-position model. The record is from RNAcentral.
UGAGUAACACGUAUCCAACCUGCCGUCUACUCUUGGACAGCCUUCUGAAAGGAAGAUUAAUCCAGGAUGGCAUCAUGAGUUCACAUGUCCGCAUGAUUAAAGGUAUUUUCCGGUAGACGAUGGGGAUGCGUUCCAUUAGAUAGUAGGCGGGUUAACGGCCCACCUAGUCUUCGAUGGAUAGGGGUUCUGAGAGGAAGGUCCCCCACAUUGGAACUGAGACACGGUCCAA